This 433-nucleotide ribosomal RNA is filed under the name uncultured bacterium. Its description in RNAcentral is "partial 16S ribosomal RNA". It matches the Rfam family "Bacterial small subunit ribosomal RNA", at positions 29 to 507 of the family's 1533-position model. The record is from RNAcentral.
AACGAACGCUGGCGGCAUGCCUAACACAUGCAAGUCGAACGAGACCUUCGGGUCUAGUGGCGCACGGGUGCGUAACGCGUGGGAACCUGCCCUUAGGUUCGGAAUAACUCCCCGAAAGGGGUGCUAAUACCGGAUAAUGUCUUCGGACCAAAGAUUUAUCGCCUUUGGAUGGGCCCGCGUUGGAUUAGCUAGUUGGUAGGGUAAAAGCCUACCAAGGCGACGAUCCAUAGCUGGUCUGAGAGGAUGAUCAGCCACACUGGGACUGAGACACGGCCCAGACUCCUACGGGAGGCAGCAGUGGGGAAUAUUGGACAAUGGGCGAAAGCCUGACCCAGCAAUGCCGCGUGAGUGAUGAAGGCCUUAGGGUUGUAAAGCUCUUUUAACCGGGAUGAUAAUGACAGUACCGGGAGAAUAAGCGCCGGCUAACUCCGUG